This 504-nucleotide ribosomal RNA is filed under the name uncultured bacterium. RNAcentral's name for it is "SSU rRNA". It matches the Rfam family "Bacterial small subunit ribosomal RNA", at positions 26 to 518 of the family's 1533-position model. The record is from RNAcentral.
AGGACGAACGCUGGCGGCGCGCUUAACACAUGCAAGUCGAGCGAGAACCGGGGCUUCGGCCCUGGGGACAGCGGCGAACGGGUGAGUAACACGUGGGUAAUCAACCCUCGGCACCGGGAUAGCCCGAGGAAACUCGGAUUAAUACCGGAUAGCCCCUCCGACUCUCGAGUCGGUCGGGAAAGGUAGCUUAGGCCUCUGGCCGGGGACGAGCCCGCGGCGGAUUAGCUUGUUGGUGGGGUAAUGGCCUACCAAGGCGACGAUCCGUAGCUGGUCUGAGAGGACGAUCAGCCACACUGGGACUGAGACACGGCCCAGACUCCUACGGGAGGCAGCAGUGGGGAAUCUUGCGCAAUGGGCGAAAGCCUGACGCAGCGACGCCGCGUGAGGGAAGAAGGCCUUCGGGUUGUAAACCUCUUUCAGGAGGGACGAAGCUACUCGGGUGAAUAGCCCAGAGGGUGACGGUACCUCCAGAAGAAGCCCGGCUAACUACGUGCCAGCAGCCGC